UGGGGAAUAUUGCACAAUGGGCGCAAGCCUGAUGCAGCCAUGCCGCGUGUGUGAAGAAGGCCUUCGGGUUGUAAAGCACUUUCAGCGAGGAGGAAGGGUAGUGUGUUAAUAGCACAUUGCAUUGACGUUACUCGCAGAAGAAGCACCGGCUAACUCCGUGCCAGCAGCCGCGGUAAUACGGAGGGUGCAAGGGUUAAUCGGAAUUACUGGGCGUAAAGCGCACGCAGGCGGUUUGUUAAGUCAGAUGUGAAAUCCCCGCGCUUAACGUGGGAACUGCAUUUGAAACUGGCAAGCUAGAGUCUUGUAGAGGGGGGUAGAAUUCCAGGUGUAGCGGUGAAAUGCGUAGAGAUCUGGAGGAAUACCGGUGGCGAAGGCGGCCCCCUGGACAAAGACUGACGCUCAGGUGCGAAAGCGUGGGGAGCAAACA
Molecule: ribosomal RNA, 427 nt
Filed under: uncultured bacterium
Lineage: Bacteria
Description: partial 16S ribosomal RNA
Rfam family: Bacterial small subunit ribosomal RNA
Source: RNAcentral